AUAAAAGUCCCCGCCAAAACAAACUCAAUCACAUAUCUCUCCGAUCUGAAUGCGAAACAAAAAGUGUAAAUCCAAACCAGAAGCAAGAUUCAAAGCAACGACAUGCCGUCUUAGACGAUGGAGAAAGGCCUAGUGUCAGUGGACCGGUGGACGGAGGGAAGCCAGGUGUACUUCCUGACUCACCUGCACUCGGACCACACCCAAGGUUUGACCUCUAGGUGGGCGAGGGGUCCUCUCUUCUGCUCGAGGCUCACCUCUCAGCUCUUUCCUUCCAAGUUCUUAGACUUCGACCUCUCCUUUCUUCGCGUCAUGGAUAUCGGCGUUUGGUAUUCCAUUUCUCUCGUUUCUCCUUCAUCUGGAUCCCAGACUGUCUUACAAGCAAUGGCCAUCGAUGCUCAUCACUGUCCUGGUGCAGUUAUGUUCUUAUUUCGGGGAGAUUUUGGUUGCAUACUCUACACCGGUGAUUUUCGGUGGGAAGCUAAAAGUGAGCGGGCGAAGAUAGGGAGAACCAUGCUCCUUAAUGCUCUAAAGGAUGACAGUGUCGAUAUCCUUUACUUGGACAACACAUACUGCAAUCCUUCAUUUGAUUUUCCACCUCGAGAAGUGGCUGCCAAGCAGGUUGUUGAUAUUAUUGCAUCCCAUCCAGAUCAUGACAUUAUCAUUGGAAUCGACUCUUUGGGGAAAGAGGAUCUUUUACUUCACAUUUCACGUGUGCUUAAAAUAAAGAUUUGGGUGUGGCCAGAACGGUUGGAAACAAUGCAUCUUCUUGGGUUCCAUGACAUAUUCACCACUAAAACUUCUGUGACUAGAGUGCGAGCCGUUCCUCGCUAUAGUUUUAGCAUUGAGACUCUAGAGGGGUUAAAUACAAUGCGUCCAACAAUAGGAAUAAUGCCAUCCGGUCUUCCAUGGGUGGAGAAAACUGCUAAAGAAGAUGACAAUCUUUUUGGUUCCUUUUUAACUUCUCGUCAUAAAAAGGGAAAAUUGAGUGAAGAAGGUGGGACCUGGACUGAUCAGCUGAAUGGAAGUGUUGUGGAAAGGUUCCAUCAAUACAUAUAUUCAGUUCCAUACUCUGAUCAUUCUUGCUUCACAGAGAUACAGGAGUUCAUUGAGCUUGUCCAGCCAACUAGCAUUAAAGGGAUUGUGUCUACAUCUUCUUUUUAUGCUGACCCUCUUUACUAUUUUGGCCAACUUUGUGGAGAAAACCGGCUAUCAAAGAGGUUUUGCUACCAGCGUGGAAAGAAAGAUGGAGGCGAUAGAGUGGUUGCUUGUGAAACCAAAUCUUAUUCUGGAAAUUGUAGUUCCACUAAGGCAGCAAGUAAAAGGAGGAUGGGAAGGCUGAGCUGGGUAAGGGCAAUGAGAAGAUUACACCGUGGCGCCAAAAUUGAAGAAAAUGACUCUUCUGAUUGAUAAGUUUAGUUUUGCCAUUAGGGUACCUAGACAAUUUGAGUGAUGUUUUCUUGUAAAUGAACGUAUUAUUUCAUAACGCUGGUGUACAUUGAAAUUUAUGAGGCACCAACAUUUUAUCCCUGGUGAAAUGUUGGUGUUGGACAAUUUUUCAACAUGACAAACCUCCGACAAUGCACCUACGCGAGUUCGACACAUGCCAUAUGUGUAGAAUUCGGACACUUUCGAGAUAUGGGAU
RNAcentral lists this unclassified non-coding RNA (1642 nucleotides) under Hevea brasiliensis (rubber tree). Lineage: Eukaryota; Viridiplantae; Streptophyta; Magnoliopsida; Malpighiales; Euphorbiaceae. The record is from RNAcentral.